Ictalurus punctatus (channel catfish) is the source of this 1940-nucleotide long non-coding RNA. Lineage: Eukaryota; Metazoa; Chordata; Actinopteri; Siluriformes; Ictaluridae. The record is from Ensembl.
AAACGCCGUUAACUAAUAUUCGAUGAUAUUUUAGUCCGAGUCUAAUUGACUAAAAUGAAUAAAUAUGACGACCAAAAACUGACUAAAUUUAAAGGAUAUUUUUGCCAGAGGAAAUUAAACAAAACAUUUUUCGCCAUACCAAUUCCAGUGUCUGAAUAUUCUUAAGAAUUAAAAGUUCUUUGCACUUUGAAAGGGUGUACUUGCAUUAUUCUGUUAUUAUAUUAUCAUUAUAGCAGUGGAAUAAAAUGGUCUUAAAAUUGCAAUAAUAUCGUUUAUCGCAAUUAUUUCUGAGACAAUAUAUCGUCCAACAAAAGUGGUUAUCGUGUAGUGAACAUUGAACAGAACUUGUAGCUGAUGUCAUCCAGCACAGAAGAAUCACUAGAACACUUGGGUUUCAGCCAGAGGUGUGCACAUUGUUAACCAUUUAAAGUGUCAGUACUUGAAUCGUGAAAUCAGUGUCUGGUAGGUGAAAUAGUGUCUGGUAGGUAUAGUGAAUCGUGAAAUCAGUGUCUGGUAGAUGAAACAGUGUCUGGUAGGUAUAGUGAAUCGUGAAAUCAGUGUCUGGUAGGUAAAAUAGUGUCUGGCAGGUAUAGUGAAUCGUGAAAUCAGUGUCUGGUAGGUAUAGUGAAUCGUGAAAUCAGUGUCUGGUAGGUGAAAUAGUGUCUGGUAGGUAUAGUGAAUCGUGAAAUCAGUGUCUGGUAGGUGAAAUAGUGUCUGGCAGGUAUAGUGAAUCGUGAAAUCAGUGUCUGGUAGGUCUGUCGCGAUACCUAAAACUCGAUACGAUACAAUAACUGAAACUUAAUAAUGGCACGAAAUAAAAGACCGCGAAUUAAACAUUAGUCAAACCUUUCAAGGGGGUGUGUCUGAAGCGCGAGGCUUUUCCCGUUCUAACGUUUGUUAGUUGUUCUAUCAGAGUCACGCAGCUCUCUGUAGCCUUGGACGUGUUUUUGAAUCUUGUGUUCUGCACUACCAUAUACGGACUUUCCCAUCGCCAUGGUGAUUUCUUUAAUCUAGAUUGAAUAAGCAAGAAAAGCAGCAAAAAGUUUGUUUUGUGUGUGUUGCUUCAAGUUUACGUUUAGUUUUAUACACUGGCACAGAAGAGUGAUCUAGGGUGCGCCUCAAUCAGCACCCAAGUAGUCAGAAGUCAGGGCAACGAUCAGGGACUCGGCCAUUUUAAAGGCUGUCUCAAUUGCAAAAUCCUUCCGGUGCCCUGGAAUGUUUGGUCCCUAAAAAAAUCCCACAAUGCACCGCAAAAACCAAGAAGCAUCGAUGCUCACUAUGUUCCCUAACUGGAAAAGAUAUUGGUCCUGCCUGCUGUUGAUAAAUGCCAGUGGUGACGUUUUACAACCAUGUCACAGGGAACCGGGUCAUCGGUGUCCCAAUGUUUAAUGAGCCAGGGUCCUUACCAGUGCACGAACCCGUGUACACCAUAUACUGAUUCAUGACCUACAGAGCUGAUUGAGAUGCACCCAUAGAUUCGGUACACUGUAAACUCACCAGGAUGCCAAAGCGCUCUCAAAUGCCAAACCUCAAAGAGUGAAGCCACUGGUGUUUUUCCCCCCAAGCUUUCACACUAAAGCUAAUCCAAAAACAGCAUGCUUAGAAGAGGUGGGUUUUUUAAAAGCCCCAUAGACUCUCCUACUCUUUCAAGGAGGGAAUGCGGGCUCGAUUACGCUGAAAUGUUUAUUACACCACACAUAAUAUAUGCUGUAUUUUAUGACAAACAGCCUACUUUAUUAUGCAGACUGCUGAAUGUAUUUUUCCAUAUGCAGACGUAUCAAACCGAGAAGCCAUGUCAUUAUCCCCCUACUGCUCGUGUAUUUAGUAUUCCAUGCGUCUAUGUUCGAUCUGGGGAGGGAAAACCGUAAAAAGAGGCUGACUAUAGAAGAUAACGUAAAUAGUUGGCAGAGCAGAGAAAGGAAAUUGAGAACAAGCUCAAA